Molecule: long non-coding RNA, 605 nt
Organism: Cyprinus carpio (common carp)
Lineage: Eukaryota; Metazoa; Chordata; Actinopteri; Cypriniformes; Cyprinidae
Exons: 3
Source: RefSeq, a predicted model, not a curated record
UCAUCGAUCAUCUUUAAUAAAUAGAUAUUCACGGAUCUACAGCAGCAUGCGGAACCUGUUGCUCUUUGUGUUUGUAUUAUUAAUGUACGUUGUGUCUGGUUCAGAGACGGAUGAAUCUGAGUCUGUGACAGUGAUGGAGGGAGAUUCUGUCACCCUACACACUAACCUUUCUGAACUACUCAACGACGACACCAUACUGUGGAUGUUCGGACCCAAAGGCUCUCUCAUAUCUGAAAUAAGGAGAAAGCAAGACUCGACUUCAUUUUUUUGUCGCUGAUGAUGUUAGAUUCAGUGGCAGAUUGCAGGUGGAUCAAAAGUCUGGAUCUCUCUCCAUCACAAACACCAGAAUCAGACACUCGGGACAAUAUAAACUCACCAUCUCUAGAGAAAAGAUCAAGACAAAGAAGACAUUUAAUGUCACUGUCAUUAGCGUGGCUAAUGAGACGGAUGGAGUGAAGUCAGUGUCUGUGACAGUGAUGGAGGGAGAUUCUGUCACCCUACACACUAACCUUUCUGAUCUACUCAACGACGACACCAUACUGUGGAUGUUCGGACCCAAAGACUCUCUCAUAUCUCAAAUUAAAGAGAAAAAGCAAGACUCGACU